RNAcentral lists this ribosomal RNA (473 nucleotides) under uncultured bacterium. Its description in RNAcentral is "bacterial SSU rRNA". It matches the Rfam family "Bacterial small subunit ribosomal RNA", at positions 355 to 825 of the family's 1533-position model. The record is from RNAcentral.
UGGGGAAUAUUGCGCAAUGGGCGAAAGCCUGACGCAGCAACGCCGCGUGAGUGAUGAAGGCCUUCGGGUCGUAAAGCUCUGUCGGAGGGAACGAAUGCUCCUGAAGUUAACAGCCUCAGGAGGUGACGGUACCCUCAAAGGAAGCACCGGCUAACUACGUGCCAGCAGCCGCGGUAAUACGUAGGGUGCAAGCGUUAAUCGGAAUUACUGGGCGUAAAGCGUGCGCAGGCGGUUGUGUAAGUCAGAUGUGAAAUCCCCGGGCUCAACCUGGGAAUUGCAUUUGAGACUGCACGGCUAGAGUGUGUCAGAGGGGGGUAGAAUUCCACGUGUAGCAGUGAAAUGCGUAGAUAUGUGGAGGAAUACCGAUGGCGAAGGCAGCCCCCUGGGAUAACACUGACGCUCAUGCACGAAAGCGUGGGGAGCAAACAGGAUUAGAUACCCACGUAGUCCCUGAGCGGGCUGGCAAGGCGCAU